UGAAUUCAACGCGAUCUUUUCAUAAUAACUGACGUUCUUUGAAAUUUCGUAUACCGAUAAUAAAACGUUUUAGUUUAAAACGUUUCACUUUUCGCGUCAUUAGCAUUUAGGUAUACCGCAGUGCAGUAGUGUAUAUUCAAAGCGUACACUAAAUACAACAAUGCCAUGGCACGCAAAUCAUUCAUUUCCCCCACCCAAAUAAACUUUGUAAAUAAUCCGUACGAUUCUGUAAAUAUCGCG
This is a non-coding RNA of Cinara cedri, 240 nucleotides long. Lineage: Eukaryota; Metazoa; Arthropoda; Insecta; Hemiptera; Aphididae. The record is from the annotation of a GenBank genome assembly.